Unclassified non-coding RNA from Chrysemys picta bellii (western painted turtle), 176 nucleotides. The record is from Ensembl. NCBI's taxonomy places the organism in Eukaryota, Metazoa, Chordata, Testudines, Emydidae.
CGGACAGCUCUGAACCCAAGUCUUCUGUGUAUCCACAGAACGGACAAAAUUGUCAGCAAAUGUGCAGGCUUCCUCCAUAACGCUCCCGGUCACUGUACCUUCACCUCAUCCUGGAAGAUCUCCUAUAGAGGUGAGAGGGGACUUCAGCCCCCUGGCCAAUUCAAUACUUGGCCUCU